Molecule: long non-coding RNA, 479 nt
Organism: Rhinopithecus roxellana (golden snub-nosed monkey)
Lineage: Eukaryota; Metazoa; Chordata; Mammalia; Primates; Cercopithecidae
Exons: 3
Source: RefSeq, a predicted model, not a curated record
AGGCCUUGGAGCUUGAGAACUCCAGUUGCCCAAGGCGCACAGGUGGUGGGUAAGGACGCUGAUGAUUUCUCCAAAGAAUCCUUCCCUGACCCAGGAGGAUCCGGUGGGAGAGCGGAGCCGUCCACAGCUCAGCCAGGACACAAGAAGGCCCAGGGUGGCAGGAGCCCCACUGUGUGCUGUGGCGGAUGGCAGAGGAAAAGUCAGCAUUGUCCCUCAACUGCAGGAUCAUGUGAUGUGAUGGGGAAAAAUUCUGAGUACAAGACACAGGAAGCGCAGUGAAAGCAUAUUGACUUUCCUGACUUCUUAUGGCCACAUUUAAGGAAAGGAGUAAGCACUGGAAUCACCAAAACAGCAGUCACCAGCUUCAUCAGCCUCCCAAUUCCACGGAGCCCCUUGAAAAUCCAGGGGCGCAGACUGGCAACAGUAGAGAUUUAAUAGAUACAGGGUCUCGCUCUGUUGCCCAGGCUGGAGUAUAGCAG